CAAUAGCGUAUAUCAAAAUUGUUGCGGUUAAAAAGCUCGUAGUUGGAUUUUUGCUGAGGACGACCGGUCCGCCCUCUGGGUGAGUAUCUGGCUUGGCCUUGGCAUCUUCUUGGAGAACGUAGCUGCACUUGACUGUGUGGUGCGGUAUCCAGGACUUUUACUUUGAGGAAAUUAGAAUGUUUCAAGCAGGCACACGCCUUGAAUACAUGAGCAUGGAAUCAUGAGAUAGGACAUUGGUUCUAUUUUGUUGGUUUCUAAAGCUGAGGUAAUGAUUAAUAGGGAUAGUUGGGGGCAUUCGUAUUUAAUUGUCAGAGGUGAAAUUCUUGGAUUUGUUAAAGACGGACUAUUGCGAAAGCAUUUGCCAAGGAUGUUUUCAUUGAUCAAGAACGAAAGUUAGGGGAUCGAAGAUGAUCAGAUACCGU
Molecule: ribosomal RNA, 422 nt
Filed under: uncultured eukaryote
Lineage: Eukaryota
Description: SSU rRNA
Rfam family: Eukaryotic small subunit ribosomal RNA
Source: RNAcentral